RNAcentral lists this ribosomal RNA (230 nucleotides) under uncultured bacterium. RNAcentral describes it as "partial 16S ribosomal RNA". It matches the Rfam family "Bacterial small subunit ribosomal RNA", at positions 57 to 305 of the family's 1533-position model. The record is from RNAcentral.
GCAAGUCGAACGAAAAGGUAACUUCGGUUACUAGAUUCGUGGCGGACGGGUGAGUAAUACAUAGAUAUCUACCGAGCACUGGGGGAUAACAGUUAGAAAUGACUGAUAAUACCGCAUACGCCAUAUUGGGAAACUUUAGGGGGUGUUCGAUGAGUCUAUGCUGGAUUAGCUAGUUGGUAGGGUAAUGGCCUACCAAGGCAACGAUCUAUAGCUGGUUUGAGAGGAUGAUC